GCAAGUCGAACGCAGUAGCAAUACUGAGUGGCAAACGGGUGAGUAUAAUGUGGGAAUCGGCCUUUUGGUUUGGAAUGACACGUGGAAACUUGUGCUAAUACCGGAUAAGCCCUAACGGGGAAAGUUUUAAUGCCGAAAGAUGAGCCCGCACUUGAUUAGCUAGUUGGUAAGGUAAAAGCUUACCAAGGCAACGAUCAAUAGCUGUUCUUAGAGGAAGACC
This 220-nucleotide ribosomal RNA is filed under the name uncultured bacterium. RNAcentral describes it as "partial 16S ribosomal RNA". It matches the Rfam family "Bacterial small subunit ribosomal RNA", at positions 57 to 305 of the family's 1533-position model. The record is from RNAcentral.